This is a non-coding RNA of Triticum aestivum (bread wheat), 125 nucleotides long. NCBI's taxonomy places the organism in Eukaryota, Viridiplantae, Streptophyta, Magnoliopsida, Poales, Poaceae. The record is from Rfam.
GAUGUACUCCCUCCGUCCAGAAAUACUUGUCAUUAAAAUGAAUGUAUCUAGAUGUAUUUUAAUUCUAGAUACAUCCAUGUUCAUCCAUUUAUGCGACAAGUAUUUCCGGACGGAGGGAGUAGUAU